Podarcis lilfordi (Lilford's wall lizard) is the source of this 150-nucleotide non-coding RNA. The record is from the annotation of a GenBank genome assembly. Lineage: Eukaryota; Metazoa; Chordata; Lepidosauria; Squamata; Lacertidae.
GGGGGAUGUUGAAAUCUCCGCCUUAGGUUACAGGGGAUCAGUGUGAACCAAUUCAUUAUGCAAGUUAUCUAGUCAAAUGGGAGGUUUAUACUGUAAAGUGUGUGUGUGUGUGUGUGUGUGUGUGUGUGUGUACACAUAAUUUCUACCCCA